This 622-nucleotide long non-coding RNA is filed under the name Spirodela polyrhiza (greater duckweed). RNAcentral's name for it is "long non-coding RNA (SPOL_LNC001798)". Lineage: Eukaryota; Viridiplantae; Streptophyta; Magnoliopsida; Alismatales; Araceae. The record is from RNAcentral.
UGGAACGCAGGUUGAUGCUAGAGUCUACUGGUGAAUAGUUAACCAAAUGUCAACCGUUGACCUUAUAUUGACCGUUGACAAGUUGAUGGGUGUUCUGACUCGAACCUAGCGAGGUGCUUGGUGCGGACCGGGCAAUAGAGCUCAGACCAUGUGGUUUGAACCGGUUUGGGCUAGGCAGGUGUGGGCGGCCUAGUUCGACUGGACCGGACCGGUUUGGUCCAGCGGUCAGAAUAACACGAAUUAGGGUUUUCUAGACACUAAAUCAUGAGCGGAAAGGGGGGUGGCACGAACAGAUCGUGCGGGCGGAGGAAGGCGAAGGCGGCGGCAGCGGCGGUGGCAGCGGCAGCGGCAGUAUAUGAUGAUGGUGGAGGAUGGCGGAAGAUGGCAGCGGACGGCGGGGAAAUAAGGUGGAGAUGGUGACGACAGCGGCGGACGGCGACAACGGACGAUCGCGGAUGGCGACAACGGACGAUGGCGGAUGGCGACGACGGACGGUGGCGGACGGCGACGGCAGACGGUGGCGAACGAGUGGCAGAUGCAGGCGGCGGUGGCGGUAGAUGGCGGCGGUGGUGAUGGAUAAUUGACCGUCGCAACCUCUCCUUGCGGAGUGAGGUAAUUCUUC